This 506-nucleotide ribosomal RNA is filed under the name uncultured bacterium. RNAcentral describes it as "partial 16S ribosomal RNA". It matches the Rfam family "Bacterial small subunit ribosomal RNA", at positions 29 to 523 of the family's 1533-position model. The record is from RNAcentral.
AGUGAACGCUGGCGGUAGGCCUAACACAUGCAAGUCGAACGGCAGCACAGAGGAGCUUGCUCCUUGGGUGGCGAGUGGCGGACGGGUGAGGAAUACAUCGGAAUCUACUCUGUCGUGGGGGAUAACGUAGGGAAACUUACGCUAAUACCGCAUACGAACUACGGGUGAAAGCAGGGGACCUUCGGGCCUUGCGCGAUUGAAUGAGCCGAGGGCGGAUUAGCUAGUUGGCUGGGUAACGGCCCACCAAGGCGACGAUCCGUAGCUGGUCUUAGGGGAUGAGCAGCCACACUGGAGAUGAGCAACGGUACAGACUCCUACGGGAGGCAGCAGUGGGGAAUAUUGGACAAUGGGCGCAAGCCUGAUCCAGCCAUACCGCGUGGGUGAAGAAGGCCUUCGGGUUGUCAAGCCCUUUUGUUGGGAAAGAAAUCCAGCUGGGUAAUACCCGGUGGGGAUGACGGUACCCAAAGAAUAAGCACCGGCUAACUUCGUGCCAGCCGCCGCCGUAA